RNAcentral lists this ribosomal RNA (373 nucleotides) under unidentified microorganism. RNAcentral's name for it is "bacterial SSU rRNA". It matches the Rfam family "Bacterial small subunit ribosomal RNA", at positions 1103 to 1475 of the family's 1533-position model. The record is from RNAcentral.
CCCUACUGCCGGUUACUAACAGGUAAAGCUGAGGACUCAGGCGGAACUGCCGGUGACAAACCGGAGGAAGGUGGGGAUGACGUCAAGUCAUCAUGGCCCUUAUGUCCAGGGCUACACACGUGCUACAAUGGUUGAAACAGAGUGAAGCGAAGCCGGGAGGUGGAGCAAAACGCAGAAAAGCAAUCGUACUCCGGAUUGGAGUCUGAAACCCGACUCCAUGAAGUUGGAAUCGCUAGUAAUCGCACAUCAGCACGGUGCGGUGAAUACGUUCCCGGGCCUUGUACACACCGCCCGUCACACCAUCCGAGUAGAGGGUACCCGAAGCCGGUAGUUUAACCGUAAGGAGGACGCUGUCGAAGGUACGCUUUGUAAG